AUAUCCUGCAGCUCCUGAGAAUCAUUCCACCUCCAACAAGAAGCCCCACCCCCUUUUUCCUGUCCGCCGUGUCAAUGAGCGUCAGAGAAAAACCAGAUCAGAUCCUGAUCCUCUGACUGUGCAGCAGCGGCUGUUCUCUUGGUAGACAACAGCAGGUUGAGGGUUUGAUUCCAGGAAGGCUCUCACUCUGACAUCAACAUUUCCACCUGCUGCCCCGCCCACCUGUGCUGCCCCGCCUCCAUCCCAGGUGGACUCUUUCUUCCUGGUUCAGUGUGUGUUGCAGCUGCGUUGACUCGGUGAAGGCUGGAAGAAGGUGUGUGGGAGCUGAUCCUCAAUCCAGCAGCAUGGAUCAGUGGGAGGGAGCCCCUCCCUCUACAAAAAGGAGAGAUGGUAACCAUGACAACCAGAGCAAAGCUCAGAGUCUUCACAGGAACCAACCUGGACCUGGACCUGGAUCUGGAUCUGGAUCUGGAUCUGAACCUGGAUCUGGACCUGGAUCUGGAUCUGGACCUGGACCUGGAUCUGGAUCCAGCUGUGUGUCCUUCAAGAGUGAUGUGUCAAAGGGAAAUAAUCCUGACUUUAAGGACAUCAGUUCAGCAGUA
This is a long non-coding RNA of Oryzias melastigma (Indian medaka), 602 nucleotides long. RefSeq lists it as uncharacterized. NCBI's taxonomy places the organism in Eukaryota, Metazoa, Chordata, Actinopteri, Beloniformes, Adrianichthyidae. The record is from RefSeq and is a predicted model, not a curated record. The transcript is spliced from 3 exons.